UACCAACAUCAAUUGGGCAUAUAUGUUUGAGCUACCAGAUGCGAGAAUGAAGCUUUUGGCCUUCCUUAUUUUAUUGGGUUUCGUCGGUGUUGCACCGCUAAAAAAAGAUGUCUGGGAGAAGUGUCAAAAAGAAGUGCGAUUGAGCAACGAUCAGUUGCUUAAAUCUAUAACAUCCUAUCCUCCCCACCGGAAAUUCAUGUGCUCCUUCCAUUGCUAUUUAAAAAAAAUGAAGGUUGUAGUUAAUGGACGGACAAUUCCCGAAAAUUUCGGAAAGGCCGUAGGGACCAAAUUUUCUAAAAACGAGUUCACAAAAAUAAUGAAAUCGUGCAGCAAGGUUUUAUCUAAGAAGGACCCUUGCAAAAUCGCAUAUGAGCUAUAUGAGUGCAUAUCAUAUCCGAUACCUAUUCUUGAAAAUUGGAUUUACUAUUAAAGACUAUCAUAUUUUAAAAAUGCAAAAGAAAA
Drosophila takahashii is the source of this 462-nucleotide non-coding RNA. Lineage: Eukaryota; Metazoa; Arthropoda; Insecta; Diptera; Drosophilidae. The record is from RefSeq and is a predicted model, not a curated record.